AUCCACCCAGCAUGUUGCUUGGGGUAUUACUAUAUUUAUUAAUAUAGUUUUAUCUUCAAGCAAUAUCGGAGGUGGAA
This is a non-coding RNA of Schmidtea mediterranea, 77 nucleotides long. The record is from Rfam. NCBI's taxonomy places the organism in Eukaryota, Metazoa, Platyhelminthes, Tricladida, Dugesiidae.